This 100-nucleotide transfer RNA is filed under the name Aeropyrum sp. Its description in RNAcentral is "tRNA-OTHER". It matches the Rfam family "tRNA". From Rfam's summary of the family: Transfer RNA (tRNA) molecules are approximately 80 nucleotides in length. The record is from RNAcentral. Lineage: Archaea; Thermoproteati; Thermoproteota; Thermoprotei; Acidilobales; Acidilobaceae.
GGGCCCGUAGCUCAGCCAGGUAGAGCGGCGGAUCACGCCGAGAUGUGAGCCGAGGCUCCAGACCCGUAGGUCGGGGGUUCGAAUCCCUCCGGGCCCACCA